Molecule: ribosomal RNA, 305 nt
Filed under: uncultured bacterium
Lineage: Bacteria
Description: bacterial SSU rRNA
Rfam family: Bacterial small subunit ribosomal RNA
Source: RNAcentral
CCCUACGGGAGGCAGCAGUGGGGAAUAUUGCACAAUGGGGGAAACCCUGAUGCAGCGACGCCGCGUGAAGGACGAAGUAUUUCGGUACGUAAACUUCUAUCAGCAGGGAAGAAAAUGACGGUACCUGACCAAGAAGCCCCGGCUAACUACGUGCCAGCAGCCGCGGUAAUACGUAGGGGGCAAGCGUUAUCCGGAUUUACUGGGUGUAAAGGGAGCGUAGACGGCAUUGCAAGUCUGAUGUGAAAGAUUGGGGCUCAACCCCAGGCCUGCAUUGGAAACUGUAAAGCUGGAGUACAGGAGAGGUA